CAGCAUUGGAGAGACUGAAGUCUUCUGUUUACCCACAGAACUGGUAAAGCACAGGCGGCCGCAAUGCACUCUUCUCCAUGCUGCCCUGCCAGUGUACCUCAACCCUGAUCUGGCGGCGCUAUCUCUAGGGAUCAUAGGGGAGUUCGGUUUCUAUGCACAGGCAACAAUUGAGCCUUC
Molecule: small RNA, 177 nt
Filed under: Chrysemys picta bellii (western painted turtle)
Lineage: Eukaryota; Metazoa; Chordata; Testudines; Emydidae
Description: TUC338 (ENSCPBG00000025949.1)
Source: RNAcentral